ACAAGUGUUAUCUAGACACACGGCAGUGUGUCCGCCAAGUUCGAGCAAAAAAACCGACACACCGGCCGUGGGUUAUAUUACACGAACCAUUUCGGGCCAAGUUCGACCCACCUAUAACUCAAAAUCUAUUUUAUCUACGCAUAUGAAAUUUCUAGUAUCUGUCGAGAUCUACUUACUUAUCUAAAAUACAAAAUUUCAUUAAUGUACCUAUUGUAGGUCUUGAGAUAUUGACGUCAGAAAAUCGCUAUUUUUACUAUACACUCACUGACUGACUCACUCACUCAUCAAAAACCUAGACCACUUCCAAUGGUCGUAUUGACUUGAAAUUUGGCAUGGAGGUAGGUCUUUAGGUCAAGGUAAAGGAAAAAAUCUGAAAAUGGCCAAGUGUGAGUCGGUUUUAAAAAUAAUGAAGGUGUAAAUUCAUACCCCUAAGGAACUAAAACAAAAAAAAUAUCUAUAUCUUCCAAUGGUCGUACCGACCUAAAAUUCUUUACGAAGGUUUGUAUUUAGUCAAAGUAAAGUAAAAUAAGAAAAAAAGAAAAUAAACCUUACAAAAAUAAAUGAAAUCCCACCCAAAACAUAAAUGUGAAAGGCUGCCAAGUUCGAUAAUAUUGGAAUGCUUCGCCUAUAAAAGAAGUGAGAUCUAAAUAAGUACCAAGUUCCAUACAAAGACCUCAGUUAAAAAUGAUAUAACUUGGCAAGUUUUAAUAGAAAAUUAUAUACUUGACUCAUUGCUUUUAGUAGGUUUAUAACAAAGUGUGUGAAAACUUGCCAACUUGUUAUAUCAUUUUUAACUGAGGUCUGUGUAUGGAACUUGGUACUUAUUUAGAUCUCACUUCUUUUAUAGGCGAAGCAUUCCAAUAUUAUCGAACUUGGCAGACUUUCACAUUUAUGUUUUGGGUGGGAUUUCAUUUAUUUUUGUAAGGUUUAUUUUCUUUUUUUCUUAUUUUACUUUACUUUGACUAAAUACAAACCUUCGUAACGAAUUUUAGGUCGGUACGACCAUUGGAAGAUAUAGAUAAUUUUUUUGUUUUAGUUCCUUAGGGGUAUGAAUUUACACCUUCGUUAUUUUUAAAACCGACUCACACUUGGCCAUUUUCAGAUUUUUUCCUUUACCUUGACCUAAAGACCUACCUCCAUGCCAAAUUUCAAGUCAAUACGACCAUUGGAAGUGGUCUAGGUUUUUGAUGAGUGAGUCAGUCAGUGAGUGUAUAGUAAAAAUAGCGAUUUUCUGACGUCAAUAUCUCAAGACCUACAAU
Molecule: long non-coding RNA, 1259 nt
Organism: Spodoptera frugiperda (fall armyworm)
Lineage: Eukaryota; Metazoa; Arthropoda; Insecta; Lepidoptera; Noctuidae
Exons: 3
Source: RefSeq, a predicted model, not a curated record